RNAcentral lists this small nuclear RNA (107 nucleotides) under Sorex araneus (European shrew). The record is from RNAcentral. Lineage: Eukaryota; Metazoa; Chordata; Mammalia; Eulipotyphla; Soricidae.
GUGCUCGCUUCAGCAGCACAUUUACUAAAAUUGGAACAAUACAGAGAAAGUUAGCAUGGCCCCUGCGCAAGGAUGACACGCAAAUUGGUGAAGCGUUCCACAUUUUU